CUGUGAGCCUGCAGUGCCCAGCCAAGGGGGAACAGGAGAGCAGUGGGUGCCAUGGGAGGAGAGCUACAGGAGCAGAAGGAGCUCACAGAGGAGAGUGCAGUAACGGCACAGCAAUCAGGAAUGAGCUUUGCUGCUGCACUGAGAGCUGUGCCUGGUGGAACCUGAGACAAGAGAGCGUUUCUCAUACACCCCUCUGGCACUUUUGUGGAUGUGCUGGGAUGUGGGGAAGCCUCACAGGGUUGUGGGGCAGUUAAAGGACGCCUAUGGGAGGGCUUCAGGAGAACUUUGGGGCAGCUUUGGAGCAGAGCCACACCUGGGAGCUGCCUUUACCCAACACACUGCUGCUGGUGGAACUGCUGCUGGCCACGGGCUGCGGGCAGUGAUGGGGCUGCUCAGGGGCACUAUGGGAUACACUCAUGGAACCUCUUCCAUAGCCCCCAGCUAUGGACCAACAAACCCCUCGACCUCCAUUUUGCCCCCCAAGAUGAGGGCAAGAUGAGCAUCAGGGGAAUAUACAGGCUGCUGACCUACAGCGGCCCCAGAGCCACCUUAUAGUACCCUCUGAACAAGCCAGGAACAGACCCAUCCCUGCCCACAGCCUCAUAUGGGGUUACGGUGCUCACAGCGCUAUGGGACAUGUGGAGCCUCGGGGUCACGCGGAGUUCUGUGGGGUUCUGGGCUCAUGUGGGGUUACUGAUCAGGGCUCCGACCUUUGGGCUGCAGGGAACUCCAAUCCCCUCUCAGGAAGAAAUCAAUGAAUGCACUCCAACACCACUCCACAUCCCCCAUUCUGACCCCAAACCGCUCCCCACGAGCCCCCAGACCCCCCACGUACCCAUGCCACGUCAUGUCUCUGCACCCACAAGUCCCAUCUGUACCUCACACCUUGCCUUCUCCUGUGAAGCACUCUGCUCCUGUAGGCUGUGGUCCAUAUGCCCUUAUCCACCCCAAAUCCACCCAUGUUCUGAUCCGUGUUCCCCAGUAUCCCCAGUGCCGCCCACUUCACUUUCACCCACAUCUGUGCCCUACACCUUCUCCAGCUCCUCAUUCCUCACCUGCAGAAGCCAUCCAUGCCACAGCACUGUGAGGUUGUACGGGAUCUGGA
This 1105-nucleotide long non-coding RNA is filed under the name Gallus gallus (chicken). Its description in RNAcentral is "lncRNA (ENSGALG00010028942.1)". The record is from RNAcentral. Lineage: Eukaryota; Metazoa; Chordata; Aves; Galliformes; Phasianidae.